Molecule: long non-coding RNA, 813 nt
Filed under: Toxoplasma gondii VEG
Lineage: Eukaryota; Apicomplexa; Conoidasida; Eucoccidiorida; Sarcocystidae
Source: RNAcentral
GAAAACGCUUCCAAUCCAGAGGCCUCUACUGGGGGGCUGAGGCAGCAGCGAAGCGUCCGCACAGAAAAAGGUGAAUUUACGUUUUUAGUGGAAAGAGAACGGUGACCGGCGGUCGGCGCGUCCGUCGGGAUCGAGCCUGCGAGAGUGAAGUUUUCGGCUCGCCGAAAGGGUAUGUUCGCGGAACGCUGACUGUUAGACGACACUGGAGGAACACGGCUUGUCGAUGGGGAAACGAUGGACCCUCCCAGGGGGCUACACGGUCCAGGAGAGGCAGGUCCACGCCGAUGUGCCGUUGCGACACCUGGCCCAGAGUCCAGGGGAGAAGAGAAUUUAGAACUGGAAGGAACAGCCGCCAAAUCCGGCAUUGUACAAUAAAACGAAAGGAAGUUAACAGUUAAGGUCAGUGAAAGUUAAAAGUGGUGAUAUAGCAAAACACAGUACCCAACGCCCGGGCACCGAGCCGAGAAUGGACCGGAGUCCAGAAGACCGCAGAAAGAUGGUAACCCGAGUUUCGAGUAGUGAAAAAAACCGAGGCCGGACUCAAGAUGGAUAGACCAAGUAGCAUAGAGGGGCGCAAGUUAAGAGGGAAUGUGGAAAACAAACAACGGAAGGCCGAGGAAUAGGGAGGAUCAUGUAAGUUCUACCUUGGGAUCUGGACUAGUAGAGGUCCUACAGACAUGGCGGUCAAGUCUACUCGAAUUUACGUUCUUUCACGGGCUUCCUUUUCAGCAACCACUGUUACUAAAAGAGGAUCUCCUCGUCCUCUGUUUUUGCGGCUAGUACUGAAUGCACGUCGACUCGUUUUUAUCUGAG